RNAcentral lists this transfer RNA (66 nucleotides) under Dermanyssus gallinae. Its description in RNAcentral is "tRNA-Leu". Lineage: Eukaryota; Metazoa; Arthropoda; Arachnida; Mesostigmata; Dermanyssidae. The record is from RNAcentral.
AUUAGCUAGGCAGAAUAAUGCAUUAGAUUUAGAAUCUAAAUUAGGUUUAGGAAUUACCAGUUGAUA